UUUGUUGUUAUGAUUUUUGUUCUAGAGAUGGUGUUUGGAAUGGCUAUCACAUGAAAUAUAUCAAAACUUUCGGUGCUAAUGAGAAUCGAAUUCAUCACAAAAAUUAUAAUAUCAUUUAUCACUUUUGUUUCAAAUUUAGUGGAGGACGGAUGAUUGAAUAAAACCCAACCAACAGCUACAGCUUCUGGAUAUAUGUUUCCAAAUGCAUCUGCAAAAGUUCAAAAGUUCUUAACGUACUGGGCACAGAAUGGGGAACACGUUGCUCCAAAUGACAUAACUUGUAAAACAUAUACGUCAGCUUCUUGAUCUUUUUUGCGGUCUCUCCAAAGAAUCCGUUUUUUUCCUUCUCUGAAGCGUAAAGCUACUCCUUGAAUCGGCUCAUUUAUAUCUGGUCCUGAUAAAAGUUCAGAGUUAAAGGAUAUUCCAUUAAUUUUUGCUGCUGCGUCAAACACUAGACGGGGCUUUGCCUUGUUUGGAUUUAUAACUACGAAGUGAGGUAGGUAGAAUGUCCUUGGUGAUGUUUUUCUAGGACUGGUGGUAUCCAACGGGGGAAAAUGAUCGGAAAUGGUGAGUGAAGCUAAGCAAUCAUGUGAAAAAAAAUUUCCCCCAGAGGCGAGACUCGAACUCGCAACCUUUGAGACUCCGGCCCAAUGCACUAACCCUUAUGCUAUCCCUGGGUAUGGUGACAUCCCAGAAAUAACAUAUGGUUAUCCCACUGGCGACAGUGAUCGUACCCUGCCUGCAAAGCGAGAAUCACACACAACGGCAGCAGAUCACCACAACACAUUUGAUCUAUUUAAUUUCCCCGCUAGAUACCAAGGCCCGGGUUUUUAUUAUCGUGUGAUGUCUAAUUUUUAGUUCAUUACCCAUCGUACUUCGGUGGGUGACAAAGCUAAUGAAGACUGUCGAUUUCUGGUCCCUUGCCCAGUGAACAGAGGUAUGACGGGAGCGAACCCGCCCGUUCUAAUUAAACUAAUAAUUCAAUUUUUUGGUCUUUUGACUUAAGUGCCAAUACCUUAUUUAGGACUGGUGGUAUCCAACGGGGAAAAACGAUCGGAAAUGGUGAGUGAAGCUAAGCAAUCAUGUGAAAAAUCAUCAUGUUUUGCCUUUCUCAUAUAGAAAGGUUAUGCAAUCACUCUGAAAAACGUCAACCUAAUCCCAGCCGAUGGGAAGGUUGCACCUUUUAUUUGAGACUAAGUUUGGGCAAAUCGGUCCAGCCAUCUCUGAGAAAAAUGAGUGACAUUAUUUGACACAUACGCACAUACAUACACACACAUACAUACACACAUACACACAUACACAUAGACAUACAUACACACACACAU
Topomyia yanbarensis is the source of this 1325-nucleotide long non-coding RNA. RefSeq lists it as uncharacterized. Lineage: Eukaryota; Metazoa; Arthropoda; Insecta; Diptera; Culicidae. The record is from RefSeq and is a predicted model, not a curated record. The transcript has 3 exons.